This 87-nucleotide transfer RNA is filed under the name Lysobacteraceae bacterium. Its description in RNAcentral is "tRNA-Leu". It matches the Rfam family "tRNA". Rfam says of the family: Transfer RNA (tRNA) molecules are approximately 80 nucleotides in length. Their secondary structure includes four short double-helical elements and three loops (D, anti-codon, and T loops). The record is from RNAcentral. RNAcentral also lists the same sequence under 4 other names. Lineage: Bacteria; Pseudomonadati; Pseudomonadota; Gammaproteobacteria; Lysobacterales; Lysobacteraceae.
GCCGGAGUGGUGAAAUUGGUAGACGCACGGGACUCAAAAUCCCGCGGGGGCGACCCCGUCUCGGUUCGAUUCCGAGCUCCGGCACCA